RNAcentral lists this microRNA precursor (382 nucleotides) under Trichophyton rubrum BMU01672. The record is from RNAcentral. Lineage: Eukaryota; Fungi; Ascomycota; Eurotiomycetes; Onygenales; Arthrodermataceae.
ACAUUUCUCGAUCUUCUUUGCGUCUUCUUCUUCGUCUUCGUCUUCUUAUUCUUCUUCUUCGUUUAUCCUCUUUAUUAUAUGCUCUGCAGUCGAUCUGUGUCAGAGUCAUCCCCCAUGUCUGCGCUAUUCUUCGCCCACCACAGCCCACAACACCAACAACAACACCACCACCACCACCAGCAACACCCGGCGCCUCCAACACACCUGCCAGCGGCUACAGCAACCACCAUGUCUCAUCACCAGCAUCACCAGCACCAGCAUCAGCACCAGCACCAGCAUCAGCAUCAGCAUCAGCACCAGCACCACCACCGUCGUCGACAACGGCUCACCCCGUCGUCCAACGCCGGCGCCACCUCGAGCCUCAGCUCGCUCACCACCCCCU